UAGGGAAUCUUCCGCAAUGGACGCAAGUCUGACGGAGCAACGCCGCGUGAGUGAAGAAGGAUUUCGGUUCGUAAAACUCUGUUGUUAGAGAAGAACAGCGCAUAGAGUAACUGUUAUGCGUGUGACGGUAUCUAACCAGAAAGCCACGGCUAACUACGUGCCAGCAGCCGCGGUAAUACGUAGGUGGCAAGCGUUGUCCGGAUUUAUUGGGCGUAAAGCGAGCGCAGGCGGUUAAUUAAGUCUGAUGUGAAAGCCCCCGGCUCAACCGGGGAGGGUCAUGGGAAACUGGUUGACUUGAGUGCAGAAGAGGGGAGUGGAAUUCCAUGUGUAGCGGUGAAAUGCGUAGAUAUAUGGAGGAACACCAGUGGCGAAGGCGACUCUCUGGUCUGUAACUGACGCUGAGGCUCGAAAGCGUGGGUAGCAAACAGG
RNAcentral lists this ribosomal RNA (429 nucleotides) under Bacteroidota bacterium. RNAcentral describes it as "Bacteroidetes bacterium partial 16S ribosomal RNA". It matches the Rfam family "Bacterial small subunit ribosomal RNA", at positions 355 to 776 of the family's 1533-position model. The record is from RNAcentral. Lineage: Bacteria; Pseudomonadati; Bacteroidota.